GAUGAAGAACGUAGCGAAAUGCGAUAAGUAGUGUGAAUUGCAGAAUUCAGUGAAUCAUCGAAUCUUUGAACGCACAUUGCGCCCCUUGGUAUUCCAUGGGGCAUGCCUGUUCGAGCGUCAUUUUGACCACUCCCGCUUGCGGGGUCUUGGGCCUUCGCCUCUGGGCGGGCCUUAAAAUCAGUGGCGGUGCCGUCCGGCUCUAAGCGUAGUAAAUCUCCUCGCUAUAGGGUUCCGGAGGGAUGCUGGCCAACAACCCCCAACUUUUAAGGUUGACCUCGGAUCAGGUAGGGAUACCCGCUGAACUUAAGCAUAUCAAUAAGCGGAGGA
Molecule: unclassified non-coding RNA, 327 nt
Filed under: soil metagenome
Description: partial contains 5.8S ribosomal RNA, internal transcribed spacer 2, and large subunit ribosomal RNA
Rfam family: 5.8S ribosomal RNA (bases 1-120)
Source: RNAcentral